GCCUUCGUGGUGUAACGGUAGCACACUCGGCUCGUAUCCGAGAGGUCCAGGGUCUAAUCCCGGUAAUGACA
This 71-nucleotide transfer RNA is filed under the name Stegodyphus mimosarum. It matches the Rfam family "tRNA". From Rfam's summary of the family: Transfer RNA (tRNA) molecules are approximately 80 nucleotides in length. Their secondary structure includes four short double-helical elements and three loops (D, anti-codon, and T loops). Further hydrogen bonds mediate the characteristic L-shaped molecular structure. tRNAs have two regions of fundamental functional importance: the anti-codon, which is responsible for specific mRNA codon recognition, and the 3' end, to which the tRNAs corresponding amino acid is attached (by aminoacyl-tRNA synthetases). tRNAs cope with the degeneracy of the genetic code in two manners: having more than one tRNA (with a specific anti-codon) for a particular amino acid; and 'wobble' base-pairing, i.e. permitting non-standard base-pairing at the 3rd anti-codon position. Lineage: Eukaryota; Metazoa; Arthropoda; Arachnida; Araneae; Eresidae. The record is from Rfam by way of RNAcentral.